CCACCGAGAUCUACACUCUUUCCCUACACGACGCUCUUCCGAUCUCUGGGAAAUAGGCAAAUCCGUUUCCCAUAAGGCUGAGCUGUGAUGGCGAGCGAAAUAUAGUAGCGAAGUUCCUGAUUCCACACUGCCAAGAAAAGCCUCUAGCGAGGUGAGAGGUGCCCGUACCGCAAACCGACACAGGUAGGCGAGGAGAGAAUCCUAAGGUGAUCGAGAGAACUCUCGUUAAGGAACUCGGCAAAAUGACCCCGUAACUUCGGGAGAAGGGGUGCUCUGUUAGGGUGCAAGCCCGAGAGAGCCGCAGUGAAUAGGCCCAGGCGACUGUUUAGCAAAAACACAGGUCUCUGCGAAGCCGUAAGGCGAAGUAUAGGGGCUGACGCCUGCCCGGUGCUGGAAGGUUAAGAGGAGCGCUUAGCGUAAGCGAAGGUGCGAAUUGAAGCCCCAGUAAACGGCGGCCGUAACAAUAACGGUCCUAAGGUAGCGAAAUUCCUUGUCGGGUAAGUUCCGACCCGCACGAAAGGCGCAACGAUCUGGGCACUGUCUCAACGAGAGACUCGGUGAAAUUAUAGUACCUGUGAAGAUGCAGGUUACCCGCGACAGGACGGAAAGACCCCGUGGAGCUUUACUGCAGCCUGAUAUUGAAUGUUGGUACAGCUUGUACAGGAUAGGUAGGAGCCUUGGAAACCGGAGCGCCAGCUUCGGUGGAGGCAUCGGUGGGAUACUACCCUGGCUGUAUUGACCUUCUAACCCGCCGCCCUUAUCGGGCGGGGAGACAGUGUCAGGUGGGCAGUUUGACUGGGGCGGUCGCCUCCUAAAAGGUAACGGAGGCGCCCAAAGGUUCCCUCAGAAUGGUUGGAAAUCAUUCGCAGAGUGUAAAGGCACAAGGGAGCUUGACUGCGAGACCUACAAGUCGAGCAGGGACGAAAGUCGGGCUUAGUGAUCCGGUGGUUCCGCAUGGAAGGGCCAUCGCUCAACGGAUAAAAGCUACCCCGGGGAUAACAGGCUUAUCUCCCCCAAGAGUCCACAUCGACGGGGAGGUUUGGCACCUCGAUGUCGGCUCAUCGCAUCCUGGGGCUGUAGUCGGUCCCAAGGGUUGGGCUGUUCGCCCAUUAAAGCGGUACGCGAGCUGGGUUCAGAACGUCGUGAGACAGUUCGGUCCCUAUCCGUCGCGGGCGCAGGAAAUUUGAGAGGAGCUGUCCUUAGUACGAGAGGACCGGGAUGGACGCACCGCUGGUGUACCAGUUGUUCUGCCAAGGGCAUCGCUGGGUAGCUAUGUGCGGACGGGAUAAGUGCUGAAAGCAUCUAAGCAUGAAGCCCCCCUCAAGAUGAGAUUUCCCAUUCCGCAAGGAAGUAAGAUCCCUGAAAGAUGAUCAGGUUGAUAGGUCUGAGGUGGAAGUGUGGCGACACAUGGAGCUGACAGAUACUAAU
This 1428-nucleotide ribosomal RNA is filed under the name human gut metagenome. Its description in RNAcentral is "bacterial LSU rRNA". It matches the Rfam family "Bacterial large subunit ribosomal RNA", at positions 1486 to 2905 of the family's 2925-position model. The record is from RNAcentral.